CUCAGAUUGAACGCUGGCGGCAGGCCUAACACAUGCAAGUCGAACGGAACCUUCGGGUUUAGUGGCGAACGGGUGAGUAAUGCCUAGGAAUCUGCCUAUUAGUGGGGGAUAACGAAUCGAAAGGUUCGCUAAUACCGCAUACGUCCUACGGGAGAAAGAGGGGGAUCUUCGGACCUCUUGCUAAUAGAUGAGCCUAGGUCGGAUUAGCUAGUUGGUGAGGUAAAGGCUCACCAAGGCGACGAUCUGUAGCUGGUCUGAGAGGAUGGCCAGCCACACUGGAACUGAGACACGGUCCAGACUCCUACGGGAGGCAGCAGUGGGGAAUAUUGGACAAUGGGCGCAAGCCUGAUCCAGCCAUGCCGCGUGUGUGAAGAAGGCCCUCGGGUUGUAAAGCACUUUAAGCGAGGAGGAAGGUCAUCAUACUAAUAUUAUGAUGAAUUGACGUUACUCGCAGAAUAAGCACCGGCUAACUCUGUGCCAGCAGCCGCGGUAAUACAGA
RNAcentral lists this ribosomal RNA (499 nucleotides) under uncultured bacterium. RNAcentral's name for it is "bacterial SSU rRNA". It matches the Rfam family "Bacterial small subunit ribosomal RNA", at positions 23 to 529 of the family's 1533-position model. The record is from RNAcentral.